GGAUGAAGAACGUAGCGAAAUGCGAUAAGUAAUGUGAAUUGCAGAAUUCAGUGAAUCAUCGAAUCUUUGAACGCACCUUGCGCCCUUUGGCUAUUCCGAAGGGCAUGCCUGUUUGAGUAUCAUGAACAUCUCAACUCCUCACGGUUCGCCCGUGACGAGCUUGGACUUUGGGGGUCUUGCCGGCCUGCGGGUCGGCUCCUCUCAAAUGAAUCAGCUUGCCGGUGUUUGGUGGCGUCACAGGUGUGAUAAAUAUCUACGCUUGUGGUUUUCCGCCAGGUAACCUCCAGCGAUGGGGGUUCACUGGAGCUCACGAAUGUCUCUCCUCGGUGAGGACAGCUCUUUGAACGUUUGAUCUCAAAUCAGGUAGGGCUACCCGCUGAACUUAAGCAUAUCAAUAAGCGGAGGA
Molecule: unclassified non-coding RNA, 406 nt
Filed under: soil metagenome
Description: partial contains 5.8S ribosomal RNA, internal transcribed spacer 2, and large subunit ribosomal RNA
Rfam family: 5.8S ribosomal RNA (bases 2-122)
Source: RNAcentral